RNAcentral lists this ribosomal RNA (513 nucleotides) under Lasiodiplodia theobromae. RNAcentral's name for it is "eukaryotic LSU rRNA". The stretch from base 144 to 297 matches the Rfam family "5.8S ribosomal RNA". Lineage: Eukaryota; Fungi; Ascomycota; Dothideomycetes; Botryosphaeriales; Botryosphaeriaceae. The record is from RNAcentral.
GGGGAACGGGAGGUAUCGAGCUCGGCUCGACUCUCCCACCCUUUGUGAACGUACCUCUGUUGCUUUGGCGGCUCCGGCCGCCAAAGGACCUUCAAACUCCAGUCAGUAAACGCAGACGUCUGAUAAACAAGUUAAUAAACUAAAACUUUCAACAACGGAUCUCUUGGUUCUGGCAUCGAUGAAGAACGCAGCGAAAUGCGAUAAGUAAUGUGAAUUGCAGAAUUCAGUGAAUCAUCGAAUCUUUGAACGCACAUUGCGCCCCUUGGUAUUCCGGGGGGCAUGCCUGUUCGAGCGUCAUUACAACCCUCAAGCUCUGCUUGGAAUUGGGCACCGUCCUCACUGCGGACGCGCCUCAAAGACCUCGGCGGUGGCUGUUCAGCCCUCAAGCGUAGUAGAAUACACCUCGCUUUGGAGCGGUUGGCGUCGCCCGCCGGACGAACCUUCUGAACUUUUCUCAAGGUUGACCUCGGAUCAGGUAGGGAUACCCGCUGAACUUAAGCAUAUCAAAAGGCU